This 318-nucleotide small nuclear RNA is filed under the name Aotus nancymaae (Ma's night monkey). Its description in RNAcentral is "7SK RNA (ENSANAG00000008383.1)". It matches the Rfam family "7SK RNA". From Rfam's summary of the family: 7SK was discovered as an abundant small nuclear RNA in the mid-70s but a possible function has only recently been suggested. Two independent studies have found that 7SK RNA binds the CDK9/cyclin T complex (known as elongation factor P-TEFb). P-TEFb activates transcription by phosphorylating the C-terminal domain of RNA polymerase II. The record is from Rfam by way of RNAcentral. Lineage: Eukaryota; Metazoa; Chordata; Mammalia; Primates; Aotidae.
GACUAUGAGGGCAAUGUGGCUGCGACAUCUGUCACUUCAUUAAUCUCCAGGGUUAAUUCAACUGGGUAAUUUAGCCAGAGUGAACUGCCUGGCUAGGCAGUUGUCCCCUUCUUCCUUCCCUGCUCCAGGUUGUAUCCUUCCCAGCAUUCCCUGAUAGAGGAGAACUUAUUUUGGUCAAGAGUAUAAAGCAGCUGUAGUCCCCAGUUAGAGCACCCUCUAAAUAAACUCUUAAGGUCCAUUUGUAGGAGAACAUAGGGUAUUCAAACCCAUGAGUCCAGACACAUCCAAGCAAAACACUGCAUGUGGACAGUCUGCCCU